This 460-nucleotide ribosomal RNA is filed under the name uncultured bacterium. Its description in RNAcentral is "partial 16S ribosomal RNA". It matches the Rfam family "Bacterial small subunit ribosomal RNA", at positions 338 to 795 of the family's 1533-position model. The record is from RNAcentral.
CCUACGGGGGGCUGCAGUGAGGAAUAUUGGUCAAUGGACGAGAGUCUGAACCAGCCAAGUAGCGUGAAGGAUGACUGCCCUAUGGGUUGUAAACUUCUUUUAUAAAGGAAUAAAACGUGGCACGUGUGCCUUUUUGCAUGUACUUUAUGACUAAGGAUCGGCUAACUCCGUGCCAGCAGCCGCGGUAAUACGGAGGAUCCGAGCGUUCUCCGGCUUUAUUGGGUUUAAGGGGAGCGUAGAUGGGUUGUUAAGUCAGUUGUGAAAGUUUGCGGCUCAACCGUAAAAUUGCAAUUGAUACUGGCAGUCGUGAGUACAGUUGAGGUAGGCGGAAUGCGUGGUGUAGCGGUGAAAUGCUUAGAUAUCACGAAGAACCCCGAUUGCGAAGGCAGCUUACUAAACUGUGACUGACAUUGAUGCUCGAAAGUGUGGGUAUCAAACAGGAGUAGAUACCCGGGUAGUC